This 536-nucleotide long non-coding RNA is filed under the name Mytilus galloprovincialis (Mediterranean mussel). Lineage: Eukaryota; Metazoa; Mollusca; Bivalvia; Mytilida; Mytilidae. The record is from RNAcentral.
CUUGCAGAAGCUGAGUUGUUAUAUUUAUGGAUAAAUUUGUCAUAGAAGAAACAAUCAGUAUAUAAAUUAAAAUCUUGACUUUUUAAGAAAAGAUGGGACACAUUUUUACUAUAUUUGCUAGAAUAAUGAAGCAAUUGAAGUGCUUGAGAGCACUGAAGGGCAAAGAUUGCUUUCACUUUGUUAUUUUGUGAAUUUUUAAAUAAAACAUUGAAUUGUAGUUUGCUAGGCAAUGAAAAAUUAUUUGAGUUGGAGUUAUCUCCCAUUGUUCAUGAUUGUACAUAUGUAGUUGAAGCUUUUUUUUUAUAACAGAUUCAUAAACCAAGCAGAACUUUUGUAGUUUUUAAUAAAAAAUGUUUUCUUGACAGGUAUUUUAAUUCAAUUACUGAUCAUAUUGUUAUUAAAUAUCAAAAUUUCUCUAAUUUUCAUCAAUUUAUCCCUUUCUGCACCCAUUGUAUAAAAAAAAUUAAUCAACAUGUGGCUCAUUUGAUCUCAGAUCUUCAUUGGUUAAAAUCCAAUAAUGGUGUCGAAUUUUCUUG